RNAcentral lists this ribosomal RNA (437 nucleotides) under uncultured Oscillospiraceae bacterium. Its description in RNAcentral is "partial 16S ribosomal RNA". It matches the Rfam family "Bacterial small subunit ribosomal RNA", at positions 341 to 792 of the family's 1533-position model. Lineage: Bacteria; Bacillati; Bacillota; Clostridia; Eubacteriales; Oscillospiraceae. The record is from RNAcentral.
ACGGAAGGCAGCAGUGGGGAAUAUUGGGCAAUGGGCGCAAGCCUGACCCAGCAACGCCGCGUGAAGGAUGAAGGUUUUCGGAUUGUAAACUUCUUUUAUCAGGGACGAAGAAAGUGACGGUACCUGAUGAAUAAGCCACGGCUAACUAUGUGCCAGCAGCCGCUGUAAUACGUAGGUGGCAAGCGUUAUCCGGAUUUACUGGGUGUAAAGGGCGCGUAGGCGGGGAUGCAAGUCAGGUGUGAAAUCUAUGGGCUUAACCCAUAAACUGCAUUUGAAACUGUAUCUCUUGAGUGUAGGAGAGGUAGACGGAAUUCCUAGUGUAGCGGUGAAAUGCGUAGAUAUUAGGAGGAACACCAGUGGCGAAGGCGGUCUACUGGACGAUAACUGACGCUGAGGCGCGAAAGCGUGGGGAGCAAACAGGAUUAGAUACCCUGGUA